AUGUUACAAGAGGGAGCAACAAAGACAAUAACUGGAAAACAAGAAAAUGACAUUGGCAUUAUUGAACCAGCUCCACAAAAUCAAGCAAGCAAUGACAAUUUUAUUUUUUUAUACCAAAAUAAUAGAAGUGGUAAGUCAGUGAAUAUCUCUGAAAAUAUUUUUAUGCUUAAACGCUAUUAUUUAGAAAAUAACUUUAUAGACCCAAAUAUAAUGUCUACUUAAAAAAAAUACUUUUUGCUAUCUUUUUCCAUACUAUCAAUUCUUUUUCCUGAACCUGCUUCAAUCCUGAAAUUCUAUUUUUGCUAUUACUGUUAUUUUAUUGAAAUAUUCAUAAAUGGAUAUAGUAUAUAUUUUUACAAUUUACAGUAAAAAAUGUUCUCAUAUAUGUGUCUGUGAAUAACAUUUUGUAGAUAAGAUGCCCACAUCAGAAUCAGGACAAAAAGAAGAUACGAAAUGACCUUCAAAUACUGAGGUACAGUGUAUUGUUGUUGUUGUUGUUGUUGCUGUUGUUAUUUUAAAACAUAAGUAAUGAGUCAUGUUAAAACAUAAAAAGAUGAUUUGACUUUAUUCUGUCACCUCUGCAUGUGUCAUAAGAAAUUAUUUUCAGACAUUUAUCAGAACAUACUUUAUAAUCAUGUGCCAACUAGAUAACUAUUGCAUAGUGCAAUUCUGCUAAUUUGUAGGAUUAAUUUAAGAAGGCAGUGUAGAAUAGUGCGAAAGAAAAUAAGGCUUAGAAGUCACUAGGAAUCUAUUUGAGUUCUGAAGUUAAGUUUGUCUAAAAACUAAAGAAUUUCUCUGCAUUCACCUAUGGGCAAAUAUAUGAUUCUGUGUAUCUCCAGAUUUACGAAAGCUCUAAUUGGAUUCAGAGAGAAAGAGUUUAAAUUGUAGUCUCAGUCUUGUACAACUUGGAACUUGAAAAGAUAAUGCUUGGGACUUGAAAGUAUUGGUAUAUUUUGAUUAUCCAGUAUACAGCUGAAGGAACAUUUCAGGAGCUGGAUAAACAUGAGAAAUAGGACACCUGUAAAACUAUAAUAAUAACAAUUCGGUUGAGUAGUGUUUUCAUAAGUAGACAUUCUUUUCACAAAGAGAACCCUUUGAGUCCUUUGUGGCAGCCAGGUUUGCAGCCACAUAAAUGUCAAAUAAUAAUGAUGGAUUCCAAGGUCACAACGGUGGAUGUGGAAGAGAUAGGUAAGGCCUCACCACUUAGAUAGAAGCAGCAGCUGCAUAGUAGUAACAGCAAUGAGUGGAUGUCAAAAGAUAAGUCUGUAUUUUGGUUCUGCCACUUACUAGCUAUGGGAACUUGGAACAAAUCAUUUAACCUAAUCAAAUACCAGUAACCUUGUUUAUAAAAAUAGUGCUCGUAUCUACCUCUUAGGUCUGCAUGAUGAAAAAAUGUUGUAACAAAUGUGAAAACACUUGUAAACUGAAAAGUCUGUAUACAAAUGUAAGACAAAAUGAUCAAAGUGGCAUUGAAGUGAAGACAGUAUUGGUAGGACAAGAAUGGGGAGUAAGAACAGGCAUGUGGAUUUCUAAUUGGGGGUAAGGGGAUGAUAACUUUCAGCAGGCUACUACUGAAAAUUUUCCAUAGAAAUAUAGCAGUCUGGAAAGGUAGACUUUUCUGAUGAGAUUUUAAAUGUUUUGACCUGGAGUAAUUUUUAAGAUUGCAAUUCUAACAGAUUGGCUAUAAAACAGAUUUGUAUGUGUUUUAAAAAUUUAUAGUAAGAGGCCGAGCACGGCGGCUCAUACCUGUAAUCCCAGCACUUUGGGAGGCCGAGGCGGGUGGAUCACGAGGUCAGGAGAUCGAGACCAUAACACGGUGAAACCCCGUCUCUAUUAAAAAUACAAAAAAUUAGCGGGGCGUGGUGGUGGGCGCCUGUAGUCCCAGUUGCUAGGAGUGAGGAGGUCUCAGCCUCAGCGGUGAGGAGGUCUAAAGCCUCAGUGGUGAGGAGGUCUAAGCCUCGGCGGUUUUGGAGAGUCACUGCUGCUAAAGAAUCUAUUUGGGAUUGUAAAGUAAGGAUAGAUUUCGUUAUUUCUUGCAAACUGUCUGAGAAAUCCUUUGAGAGUGUGUGGUAGUAGGAUAAUGAAGUAGAUAAACCAGGUAUUCCAGUUCCCGUAGCAGUAGCCAUUCC
Long non-coding RNA from Macaca mulatta (Rhesus monkey), 2129 nucleotides. The record is from Ensembl. Lineage: Eukaryota; Metazoa; Chordata; Mammalia; Primates; Cercopithecidae.